Molecule: ribosomal RNA, 443 nt
Filed under: uncultured bacterium
Lineage: Bacteria
Description: partial 16S ribosomal RNA
Rfam family: Bacterial small subunit ribosomal RNA
Source: RNAcentral
CCUACGGGACGCAGCAGUGGUGAAUAUUGGGCAAUGUGCGCAAGCCUGACCCAGCAACGCCUCGUGAAGGAAGAAUGCUUUCGGGUUGUAAACUUCUUUUCUGAGGGACGAAGAAAGUGACGUUACCUCAGUAAUAAGCCACGGCUAACUACGUUCCAGCAGCCGCGGGAAUACGUCGGUGGCAAGCGUUAUUCGGAUUUAUUGGGGGUAAAGGGCGUGUAGGCGGGAAAGCAAGUCAGAUGUGAAAACUCAGGGCUCAACCCUGAGCCUGCAUUUGAACCUGUUUUUCUUGAGUGCUGGAGAGGCAAUCGGAAUUCCGUGUGUAGCGGUGAAAUGCGUAGAUAUACGGAGGAACACCAGUGGCGAAGGCGGAUUGCUGGACAGUAACUGACGCUGAGGCGCGAAAGCGUGGGGAGCAAACAGGAUUAGAUACCCUUGUAGUC